Molecule: ribosomal RNA, 532 nt
Filed under: Simulium bicornutum
Lineage: Eukaryota; Metazoa; Arthropoda; Insecta; Diptera; Simuliidae
Description: partial 16S ribosomal RNA
Rfam family: Bacterial large subunit ribosomal RNA
Source: RNAcentral
AAAAACAUGUCUUUUUAGUUAUUUAAUAUAAAGUCUGACCUGCCCACUGAAUUUAUUUUGAAGGGCCGCAGUAUUUUGACUGUGCAAAGGUAGCAUAAUCAUUAGUCUUUUAAUUGAAGGCUGGUAUGAAUGGUUGGAUGAGGUACAAGCUGUGUCAUAAAAAUUAAUAUUUGAAUUUAACUUUUUAGUCAAAAGGCUAAAAUUUAAUUGAAAGACGAGAAGACCCUAUAGAGCUUUAUAUAAUGAUUAUUUAAUUUAUUAAGAUUUAUUAAAUUUAAUUAUUUUAUUGUAUUUUGUUGGGGUGACAAUAAAAUUUAAAAAACUUUUAUUAUUAUUUUACAUUUAUUUAUGAUUUUAUGAUCCAGUUUUAUUGAUUAUAAAUUUAAGUUACCUUAGGGAUAACAGCGUAAUUUUUUUUGAGAGUCCAUAUCGACAAAAAAGAUUGCGACCUCGAUGUUGGAUUAAGAGUAAUUUUGGGUGUAGAAGUUCAAAGUUUAAGUCUGUUCGACUUUUAAAUUCUUACAUGAUCUGA